RNAcentral lists this long non-coding RNA (530 nucleotides) under Vigna radiata. RNAcentral's name for it is "long non-coding RNA (VRAD_LNC014059)". The record is from RNAcentral. Lineage: Eukaryota; Viridiplantae; Streptophyta; Magnoliopsida; Fabales; Fabaceae.
AACAAACCCAAAAGGCGUCCAAGAACCCACAAAGAAACCAAAAACCAAAACAAAAAACAUAAUACCCUUACCACAACAUCAACGAAAACCGACAACAACAACGUAAGAACCCAAGAACCCAAACCAAAAACCCAAUACCCAAGAACGCAUUUACCUUGCUCCAACGAAGCUGUUGUCCGGGACUUCCCAUUUCCACCAAACGCCGACAACAGAGAACCACAAACCAAACGUCACAGAGAGAAAGUAGGGGGAGAACGACAAUGCAGGGGGAGAAUGAAAUGUGAGAGAGAGAACUAAAUCUGAGACAAAACGUAAUUGAACAGGCCAAAGGUUAUAUUUGGAACGAAAAAUUUUUCAAAAUCUUUUCGUUUUCGUGUCCAAAAUUUUUCAAAAAAAAAAACAACCAAUGGCAGCUUGACACCUGUUGGUGUAAAAUAUGUGUCAAAAAAAGUGUGUUAAAAUAACGGGAUCCAAAUAUAAUAUGGUGGUUUAAGUGGAAUUGUCGCAACAUCUAUACAAUGUGUAAAAUG